CACCCCCCACUUGAGAUAAUGGUACAUUCCAGGCGUAGGAGCAUAGAGGAAGUAGCCUUUUCAAGUGUGGAGGGUUUGUUUGACAAUGUGCAGUUUGUUUGCUGAGGGAACAAGUCUGACUUGCUUGAGAUAAUUAUGCCCUGUACAAAAACAUGCGGAAAGUAACACCGCAUGACUGAGCACUUUAGCCCUAGACAAGACUGCAACUUCUUUCUGUAAGCUUCCGGGGUUGUAAUGCCGCUGGCAACAGUUUCGAAAGAGAUUCCCCUUGUUCUGUUUGUUUAUUUAUUUAUUUAUUUAUUCAAUUUAUACCCCGCGCAUCUAGACUGAAGUCUACUCUGGGCGGCUUUUCUUAUUGCUUUUCUUUGAGAAAAGCUGGUAUGCAGGCAAACUAAAAGAUCUGGCAGGUGCUCCUAAACAUUUGCCUUUCCUGUGAAGAAGGGGAGCUCUCUCCUUGUUUCGAUGAGUAUGGCCCUCCCUUGUUCCUCCUGCUGCUGCUGCUGUCCCUGGAUCUCAUUUCCUUCGAGAGAGAGAGAACCUCUCAAUACACAGUGGUCAAGCCAAUCUCAUCAAGGCAUCGAAAGGGCUCACAUUAACAAAGAGAAACCCCUCAAAAUGAAACGGGUCAACAUGCCUAAGAUUGACACCCUGUUCACCAACAUUGCAGAGACAUUUAACAAGCAGCAAGGUGAUUGCUUGGCUCUCCGGGAAGCCAUCCAGGGCCUGAAAGAGACCUUUUGCUGCUCACCUGCAAGCAGUCUGUCUGUAUGCAUAGAGAAGAUACAGCAGGAGCACCGUGCUUGCAAUGUGCAGGUGCAGAUGGAGGGAUACAGAUUCUGGCUGGCCAUGAGAGAGAAGGACGUUCCUGAGAAACUGAAGUGGGCUCAGCAGCAGGUGGGGGAACUGAACCGUGCCACCUUAGGAGUCAUCAGUGUAGAAACUAAACUCCAGGAAAUGAUCCAGUCUGUGCUUCAAAGCCAGGACAAGUUGAUGGAGAAAGUAAAAGCUGCAAAUCCUGAAUACCUAGACCAGAUCCGGGUCGAGGGAAACCUGCAAGAAAACAUACAGGAAAUGUGUUUGGCUCAACAGUUCUUGAAGCAGUAUACAGAAGAAGCCAAAAAUGUCCUUAAAGAAAUGUCCAACUCAGUAGGUUUUACCUUGUAAAAAGGGAUGAAGAUGAACAUGUUUUAAGGGUGCUUUCUACAGUGAUGAAUUAAGGCACUAGUGACAGAAGGCUCUUUAGGUUAUAGUUUUACUGCACAGAUUACACAGAAAUUGAACCUGACUGUAAGAUUUCUGUAAGUGUAAAGUGAUACAACCACAUGCCGGAAAAGUAGACAAAUUAUUAUCAUGUGACAAAUAGACUUCAGUGGUCUAUAAGUGGCAAGAAUUCAGUGCUAUUGCUAUUAGGUGGCUGCCAUUUUUCUCUUUAUACUGUAUCUGUCUUUAAAAUGAAGAAGAUAGCUACAGACUUUGUUUUCCUCUGAAUUCUUCUGAAUUCAUAAAGGACAGCCAACCCUAUCUUACUGGGCCAAUGAGAACACUCGCCAGAGUGCCAGCUUGGAAAAGGAGUAGUUUGUGCCCAGGAGGUGUGAUAAAAAGAAGUUUGUUCUCAUUGUUAUCUUGAGUCUAAUUCAGCAUCUCAUUUCUAAAAACAUGUCUGGGUAAGACAGGCCAAAUAAAAGCUUGAACAUAAUGCA
Molecule: long non-coding RNA, 1700 nt
Filed under: Pogona vitticeps (central bearded dragon)
Lineage: Eukaryota; Metazoa; Chordata; Lepidosauria; Squamata; Agamidae
Description: lncRNA (ENSPVIG00000017683.1)
Source: RNAcentral